This 310-nucleotide long non-coding RNA is filed under the name Cyanistes caeruleus (blue tit). Its description in RNAcentral is "lncRNA (ENSCCEG00000011736.1)". The record is from RNAcentral. Lineage: Eukaryota; Metazoa; Chordata; Aves; Passeriformes; Paridae.
UGACCCUGUGAAAAGCCAGUCCAACGACAAAUGCAGAGGGCAUCCUGUUGCCUGGCAUGACCCUGACAGCUCCUACCCCCAAGAGUUUGAGAUCUUGACGUGUGGCUCCAUUCUUCUUCAGCGUUUGGAAACUACUCAGCAUACAUCCAGGCUACUGUAAACAUGUAAUAAGAAAACUUCUUUACCAUUCCUCUUCUUGGGCUGACCUUUCCAUCAGGCUCCACUCUUCCUGUGUUUUUCUGCUCACAGCCUCAGGACCUUUUACAACAAGAUGUUGAAUGUUGCAGUGCAUCCGUGUGCCUUGUGUUGU